GACAGAGGUGCCGAGCGUUAUGCGGAAUCACUGGGCUUAAAGCGUGUGUAGGCGGACUUCUAAGUACCUUGUGAAAUCCCACGGCUCAACCGUGGAACUGCUUGGUAUACUGGUUGUCUUGAGCCACUUAGGGGUCAGCGGAACAAAUGGUGGAGCGGUGAAAUGCGUAGAUAUCAUUUGGAACGCCAAUGGUGAAAACAGCUGACUGGGAGUGUGCUGACGCUGAGACACGAAAGCCAGGGGAGCGAACGGG
Molecule: ribosomal RNA, 253 nt
Filed under: uncultured bacterium
Lineage: Bacteria
Description: partial 16S ribosomal RNA
Rfam family: Bacterial small subunit ribosomal RNA
Source: RNAcentral